CCUACGGGUGGCAGCAGUGAGGAAUAUUGGUCAAUGGACGAGAGUCUGAACCAGCCAAGUAGCGUGAAGGAUGACUGCCCUAUGGGUUGUAAACUUCUUUUAUAUGGGAAUAAAAUGUUCCACGUGUGGGAUUUUGUAUGUACCAUAUGAAUAAGGAUCGGCUAACUCCGUGCCAGCAGCCGCGGUAAUACGGAGGAUCCGAGCGUUAUCCGGAUUUAUUGGGUUUAAAGGGAGCGUAGGUGGAGUGUUAAGUCAGUUGUGAAAGUUUGCGGCUCAACCGUAAAAUUGCAGUUGAAACUGGCAGUCUUGAGUACAGUAGAGGUGAGCGGAAUUCGUGGUGUAGCGGUGAAAUGCUUAGAUAUCACGAAGAACUCCGAUUGCGAAGGCAGUUCACUGGACUGCAACUGACACUGAGGCUCGAAAGUGUGGGUAUCAAACAGGAUUAGAUACCCGUGUAGUC
RNAcentral lists this ribosomal RNA (460 nucleotides) under uncultured bacterium. Its description in RNAcentral is "partial 16S ribosomal RNA". It matches the Rfam family "Bacterial small subunit ribosomal RNA", at positions 338 to 795 of the family's 1533-position model. The record is from RNAcentral.